AACGCAUAUUGCACUUUCUGGUAUUCCGGAAAGUAUGCCUGUUUGAGGGUCAGUUAAAUAAAAAUCGGUGUUGUUGCUGCUUUUCGUGGUGACGCGUCGGAAUUGAGUCGUCUUACCUUCGGUUAAGUGACUUAAAAUUUUUGUAUGAUUUUCGAACGUAUUUAAAUUGCUUACGUACGUUUGGGAUAUCGAAUGUUUAUUAGGUUCGGUCAUCUUCAUGAUUCGCACCUAUAAUUUUUCAUUAAAUGACCUCAAAUCAGGUAAGAAUACCCGCUGAACUUAA
Molecule: unclassified non-coding RNA, 283 nt
Filed under: uncultured Glomerales
Lineage: Eukaryota; Fungi; Glomeromycota; Glomeromycetes; Glomerales; Glomeraceae
Description: sequence contains 5.8S rRNA gene, ITS2, 28S rRNA gene
Rfam family: 5.8S ribosomal RNA (bases 1-52)
Source: RNAcentral